Amphiprion ocellaris (clown anemonefish) is the source of this 1152-nucleotide long non-coding RNA. The record is from Ensembl. NCBI's taxonomy places the organism in Eukaryota, Metazoa, Chordata, Actinopteri, Pomacentridae.
GCUUGUCUGAGCUUUCAUCUCUCUCAGGAUGUGUUUCUGUAAACACUGCAUGCUAAGCGUUCCUCUUUUUUUUUGUCCUUUUAAAGAGCAUCUCUGUUAAAAGUCUCCACAAUCAAUCAGAAGGCAGGUAUUCUUGCAGCUGUGUCUGUCCUCCCAACACUGUACUUUUUUGUCUUUUAGAUUCCCACUGUCACCAUGUAUUCCCGCACUGCUAAGAGCUGCAAGCUUCAAAAAGUCAUUGCAUCAGCCCUGUGCGAAAUCCCAAACUCUACCGGGAUAAACCAGAUCAAUAAAUAACAGACUGGACAAGAUCAAAGGAAGGGGGGAAAAAAAAAUCUGUGGAACGUGACAGACUGUGUUCUGUUUCAGUUUCACUUAAGUUGAUUUUGUGGCUUUGCAUUGACUCGAGCCCAAGGGAUCGUGGGUUGUCCAGAUGCUUCUCUCUUUUCCCAGAGUGCAUCUCAACUCGCCCACUCUGGAACCACUCGUUUCAAAUUGCCACUUGGCUAACUCGACCACUCACCGCAGGACUGAAACAGAAAAGAUGUCUGAUAAAUGACUCUCAGCAUUUGUGUCGUGGCUCUGACCUGGACCAGUGCAGCGGAUCAGCUCUCAUUGUGCUUCAGACAGGCUUUGAAAAGUUGAGUAGCCAACUUAGGAAAACUGUGUCCAUUCACUAACUGCCGCUACAGUAGAGAGUAGAUUUUGUUGGAUUCAGUCAUUCUGGACUGACCAUCAGUAGUGGAACUCACACUACACCUUAUCGAAUUUCUAUCUUCAUUACUGGCUGAGUCGUGGUUCAGUGAUUUUCUGACAAAACAAAAAAAACAAAAAAUACCUCCCUCUCAUCCCUGCCUGGGAUGAUGUGGAGAAAAAAAAGAAAGCAGCAGUUGAUCAAAACAGCUGAAAUUAUGUUUCUCUCUGAUAAUUUGUCUUAUUUUGAUUUUACUUUGUGCAUUUUUUUCUCUCAAAACUUGAUACUUUUUUUUUGUUAAUAACAUUCCAAUUAGUUUUGUUGUUUUUCUUUUGAUUGGUUGCUAGUGGGGUUUUUUUCCUUUAGAAAAUGUUAGAUUUUAUACAUUUGUGUUGUGUGUUCACCUCUAGUUGAGUGUGUUAACAAGCCAUGCUGGACAUGUACACAUUAAAAAAAAU